AUUGAACGCUGGCGGCAUGCCUUACACAUGCAAGUCGAACGGCAGCACGGGAGCAAUCCUGGUGGCGAGUGGCGAACGGGUGAGUAAUAUAUCGGAACGUGCCCGGUCGUGGGGGAUAACGUAGCGAAAGCUACGCUAAUACCGCAUACGAUCUACGGAUGAAAGCGGGGGAUCGCAAGACCUCGCGCGAUUGGAGCGGCCGAUAUCAGAUUAGGUAGUUGGUGAGGUAAAGGCUCACCAAGCCGACGAUCUGUAGCUGGUCUGAGAGGACGACCAGCCACACUGGGACUGAGACACGGCCCAGACUCCUACGGGAGGCAGCAGUGGGGAAUUUUGGACAAUGGGCGGCAAGCCUGAUCAGCAAUGCCGCGUGCAGGAUGAAGGCCU
This 387-nucleotide ribosomal RNA is filed under the name uncultured bacterium. RNAcentral describes it as "bacterial SSU rRNA". It matches the Rfam family "Bacterial small subunit ribosomal RNA", at positions 29 to 417 of the family's 1533-position model. The record is from RNAcentral.